GCCCUUAGUGAGGCUAAGGUGAUCAAAGGCUCGUGCCUUGGGUGCUCUUGUUCCCUUUGUACUGUUGAUGCAGAGUUGAAAGAGGUGGCAGAACUAGCUUUGGCCAUGCUUCGAGCCGUGAUGCCCAAAGUGACACCACUUGCGACGAUGACGCUCUUGUUCUUUGUACCGGUUGCGGGAACAGUUUGAGCCUUCCUUGCUGCCAUUGACUUUGAGGUGUGUUUGGAUUCCUUGAACGGAAAAUUUGUGUUUGAGA
RNAcentral lists this long non-coding RNA (256 nucleotides) under Malus domestica (apple). RNAcentral describes it as "long non-coding RNA (MDOM_LNC013060)". Lineage: Eukaryota; Viridiplantae; Streptophyta; Magnoliopsida; Rosales; Rosaceae. The record is from RNAcentral.